AUGUUCUUUGAUGGCUCUAAGAUGUUGAAUGGUUUCGGUGCUGGGGUUGUUCUGGUUUCCCCCAGAGGAGAUAAGCUCAGAUAUGUGCUCCAGAUUCACUUUGAUUCCUCCAACAAUGAGGCAGAAUAUGAGGCCCUCUUAUAUGGGUUGCGCAUGGCCAUUUCACUCGGCGUCCGUCGCUUGAUGGUCUAUGGCGACUCGGAUUUAGUGGUCAAUCAAGUGAUGAAGGAGUGGGACGUGAGAAGCCCAGCCAUGACUGGAUACUGCAGUGCAGUGAGGAAGCUGGAAAAGAAGUUCGAGGGGUUAGAGCUCCAUCAUAUACCCCGACUGAAAAAUCAAGCAGCUGAUGAUCUAGCAAAGAUAGGUUCCAAGAGAGAAGCCAUUCCGAGUGGUGUGUUCUUGGAGCAUGUACACACUCCGUCAGUCAAAAAAGAUCCUUUCACCGAAGAAGCUCCACAGCCCAAGAGUGCCACAGAUCCGACUGAGGUUGAAGUCCCAGCAGUGGUCGACUUGGUUAUGGAGAUCUUGGUGGUCAUUCCCGAUUGGACAGUUCCAUAUAUCGCGUAUAUCCUGAGAAAAGAGCUCCCGGAGGAUGAGGAAGAGGCUCGACAGAUCGUCCGCCGAUCUAAGGCCUUUACCGCAAUCAAAGGACAGUUAUACAGAGAAAGCGCGACUGGAGUCGGUCAGAAGUGCAUAACGCCGGAAGAAGGUCGAAUCAUCCUUAAUGAUAUUCACUCGGGGACCUGUGGUCAUCACGCGUCCUCUCGGACCAUCGUGGCCAAAGCAUACCGAGCCGGAUUUUACUGGCCAAAGGCGAAUGAGAUGGCAAAGGAGAUAGUGGAUAAGUGCGAGGGAUGUCAGUUUUACUCGAAUAUGUCGCACAAGCCUGCAUCAGCCCUGAAGACCAUUCCACUCGUCUGGCCUUUCGUUGUAUGGGGGUUGGACAUGAUCGGUCCAUUGAGAACAGGGCGAAGUGGCUUCACGCAUGUACUGGUGGCAGUCGACAAGUUCACCAAGUGGAUUGAGGCUAAACCAAUCAAGAACCUUGACGCUGGUACUGCUGUUAGCUUCAUCAGGGAACUAAUAUUCAGAUAUGGAGUCCCGCACAGCAUCAUUACGGAUAAUGGGUCGAACUUUGACUCGGAGGAAUUCAGAGAUUUCUGUAACUCUCAAGGCACACGGGUCGACUACGCUUCAGUCGCCCAUCCGCAGUCGAAUGGACAAGCAGAGCGAGCCAAUGGCCUGAUUCUCAAGGGAUUGAAACCCCGACUGAUGCGUGAUCUCAAGCAUGCAGCUGGAGCUUGGGUCGACGAACUUCCCUCAGUGCUUUGGGGACUGCGGACCACACCUAAUCGGUCGACCGGAAGAACUCCAUUCUUCUUGGUCUACGGAGCUGAAGCAGUCUUGCCGAGUGAUCUUCUCCACAAUGCUCCUCGAGUUGAAGUCUACAACGAAGCAGAAGCUGAACAAGCGCGGCAGGACGCAGUCGACCUUUUAGAGGAAGAAAGGGAGAUGGCUUUGAUCCGGUCGACCAUCUACCAACAAGAUUUGCGUCGUUUCCACGCCAGAAAUGUGAGAGGUCGAGCCUUCCAGGAAGGAGAUUUGGUUCUCCGAGUGGAUCAGCGCAAACCACACAAGCUUGCUCCUUCUUGGGAAGGUCCCUUCAUCGUCACCAAGGUUCUUCACAACGGGGCGUACCGUCUUUACAACGUCGAGCAUAAUAUCGACGAGCCCCGAGCUUGGAACGCGGAACUACUCUGCCCAUUUUACACUUAA
RNAcentral lists this ribosomal RNA (1776 nucleotides) under Triticum aestivum (bread wheat). Its description in RNAcentral is "partial small subunit ribosomal RNA". Lineage: Eukaryota; Viridiplantae; Streptophyta; Magnoliopsida; Poales; Poaceae. The record is from RNAcentral.